GAACGUUGUCACACGAUAUUAUAUUGCGGUGGGACACGUGCGCACGGGCACGCGCGCAACGGACCGGGUUAAUUGCGUGACAAUAACGAUAUGGAAAAAAACGUGGAAUAAAGUCGGUAGAAAAAAAUGUACCGCGUGUUUCACUCGAACGGUAACACGAGAUGUUUCGCAGCCGGAUGGAUAACGAAUCGAACCGGAGUUUUCUUCCUCUCUGCGCUCCCGGCAGCACCUACG
Non-coding RNA from Cinara cedri, 234 nucleotides. Lineage: Eukaryota; Metazoa; Arthropoda; Insecta; Hemiptera; Aphididae. The record is from the annotation of a GenBank genome assembly.